CCUACGGGAGGCUGCAGUCGAGAAUCAUUCACAAUGGGGGAAACCCUGAUGGUGCGACGCCGCGUGGGGGAAUGAAGGUCUUCGGAUUGUAAACCCCUGUCGUGUGGGAGCAAAUUAAAAAGACAGUACAACAAGAGGAAGAGACGGCUAACUCUGUGCCAGCAGCAGCGGUAAUACAGAGGUCUCAAGCGUUGUUCGGAAUCAAUGGGCGUAAAGCGUGCGGAGGCGGUUUCGUAAGUCGUGUGUGAAAGGCCCGGGCUCAACCCGCGAACGGCACCUGUUACUGGGAGACUAGAGUAAUGGAGGGGGAAGCGGAAUACUCGGUGUAGCAGUGAAAUGCGUAGAUAUCGAGAGGAACACUCGUGGCGAAGGCGGGUUCCUGGACAUUAACUGACGCUGAGGCACGAAGGCCAGGGGAGCGAAAGGGAUUAGAUACCCUAGUAGUC
RNAcentral lists this ribosomal RNA (446 nucleotides) under uncultured bacterium. RNAcentral describes it as "partial 16S ribosomal RNA". It matches the Rfam family "Bacterial small subunit ribosomal RNA", at positions 338 to 795 of the family's 1533-position model. The record is from RNAcentral.